GAAAAGGUUCCUUUCGUGUAUCUUGGAUUUCGUGCACGAACCAUUUUUCUCUUCUAUUAUAUUUUUCUCUCUCAGAAAAAGGCAAAAACACUCUUUUUUUUUUUUUUGGCUUUUGAAGUUCGAAGGCCGUGCCUUUCAUGGUGUUUCUCUCAUGCUGCUUCAGUCCCAGAGAGCUGGUUACUUACCCCACUACGUUCGAAGACAAUAGUGAUCUAGUUGAUGCCAGCUGUAAGGAUUAUGAUCUCUUCGAGCAUUGAACAUGAAAGAUUACUUGCUACAAGGCACUGGAGAAAUAAUGGAUUAAUAUAAUUGAGAUUUGGAGUGGGGAAUGAAGCCAUCGGUCCGUGUAUCACAGGGUAGAUGUAUUAUAUUUGACAGUUUCUGUAAAUUGUUAAUGGAUUCUGAAAGUCUUCUGCUGAUAGAGAUGAUAUAAAAUUUCUAUUUUUUCUUUCAAUUUUCA
This is a long non-coding RNA of Populus euphratica (Euphrates poplar), 460 nucleotides long. RefSeq lists it as uncharacterized. The record is from RefSeq and is a predicted model, not a curated record. NCBI's taxonomy places the organism in Eukaryota, Viridiplantae, Streptophyta, Magnoliopsida, Malpighiales, Salicaceae. The transcript has 2 exons.